UUGAUCCUGGCUCAGAAUCAACGCUGGCGGCGUGCCUAACACAUGCAAGUCGAACGCGAAAACCCCGAAAGGGGUUAGUAGAGUGGCAAACGGGUGAGUUACGCGUGGGUGACCUGCCUUCGAGCGGGGGAUAACGUUCCGAAAGGGACUCUAAUACCGCAUAACAUCCUGCCCUUGAACGGGUGGAGAUCAAAGCUGGUGAUUCGCAAGAACCCGGCACUUGAAGAGGGGCCCGCGUCUGAUUAGCUAUUUGGUGAGGUAACGGCUCACCAAGGCAACGAUCAGUAUCCGGCCUGAGAUGGCGGACGGACACACUGGGACUGAGACACGGCCCAGACUCCUACGGGAGUCAGCAGUGGGGAAUUGUUCGCAAUGGGCGCAAGCCUGACGACGCAACGCUGCGUGGAGGAUGAAGAUUUUCGGAUCGUAAACUCCUGUCGAAUGGGACGUACAGAUUGCGGGUUAACAGCCCGCGGUCCUGACGGUACCGUUAAAGGAAUCCCCGGCUAACUCCGUGCCAGCAGCCGCGGUAAUAAGGU
This 539-nucleotide ribosomal RNA is filed under the name uncultured Acidobacteriota bacterium. RNAcentral describes it as "bacterial SSU rRNA". It matches the Rfam family "Bacterial small subunit ribosomal RNA", at positions 13 to 529 of the family's 1533-position model. The record is from RNAcentral. Lineage: Bacteria; Pseudomonadati; Acidobacteriota.